This is a long non-coding RNA of Nicotiana attenuata, 1939 nucleotides long. RefSeq lists it as uncharacterized. Lineage: Eukaryota; Viridiplantae; Streptophyta; Magnoliopsida; Solanales; Solanaceae. The record is from RefSeq and is a predicted model, not a curated record. The transcript has 3 exons.
CCUCUCCUUUCUCCCCCCUCCCCCCAUCCCCCCUUUUUUCCAAAGCGCACAAUUAGUUCCCUCACUUCAACUCACAAAUUAGGGCUUAAUUUCUGCAGGGCACAAUUCGCUCUGGUCGUCGCCAUCUCUACAAAAAAGAUUCGCCGCAAUCCGAACAAUAAAGGUGAUGCACAUCCAUCGCAAGAUAAAUCCUCCACGAGUGCAAAGGUCUGGUGGGCUCUAUGAUAGCAUUGAGGAGAAGCUACAACCAUUGAAGAAUAUUUGCAGCAUUCUCAAUUGCUCUGAAAUUGAAAUGUAUCCUUGAAUGCAUUGAUUCACUUCGUUAUACGUGUGCUUGUUCAUAGUGUUGCAGGUUAAUAUAGAAAACAUGGAUAAAUGGGAUAAGUUACUACUGAAUAUGAGGUUGGGGUUAUCUUGUGCAAUGUGAUCUUCGUUGAUGUGGUAUUAAUGUCACUUCUACCUUAAUUCAGAUGCACUCGUAAUAAAGUUUUCUCUGAACAUUUUAGCUCUAUGUUUAUAUGCUGCAGCCUUUAAUUCAGAAAUAGACUUAUUAUUAUGUUAGGUCUUGGCUAUAGACUAUGGCUUAGUACUAUAACGGUUAUUUGUCGCAUUGCAUUUCUUUCAUAUUGGGGAACCUUGGUUCAGUAUAUACAAAAGCCUCCCAAAUGUCGUAAGAAAUAUAAUAUCAUUUGCUAGAUAUUUUUGCAUAGAGACGUGGUAUUUGAUGAGUUAAAAGAUAAACUUUCUGUCAUAUUGUAUUAGUGUUGUCAAUGUUAGUAGGACUCUGAAGUAUCUGGCCACAAUAAGUCUUUACUUAUAUUUUGUUGAAGCUUACUUUAGUUAGCAUUUCUUUUGCAAAUAAGUUUAAUUCUUCCUAAUUGAUCAUAAGUUGCCAACAAGAUGGACAUUCUAGCCAUAGCCUACUGUAUGACUUAUAUUUCCCAUGUAAUGAGAAUAAUUUUGAUAUAAUCUGCAUUUCUGAAUGGGAGGGUAUUUUGCUCAUUAGUACUUUCUUCACAUAUAUAUAAAAACUAGUAAAGUUGAUUUAAUCUGAUCCUGAACAUCUUGCUUAACCUCCUGCUUAACUCUUAACAUAGUUAGUUACUCCUCAAAGCAUACCAUUUGACUAGUCAUACACCAAAGCUGACUGCUUUUUGAAGUCUAUAUAAGCACUAGAAAAAUGAUUCAAUAUGCCCCCCUAACUAACACAAGGGGAAUCUGGUUUAUGAUGUUUUUGUUAAGUGUCAUUUGCAUAGAAGGCUUGGUAUAUCAUUUAGCUUAUGAUCUGCUAUUGAGUUGCUCUGUUAAGCUUUUAGUAUUUGAUCACUUUUAUUAAGUGUGAGAAUUAAUCAUCUCUAGGCUUGAGGUUUCUAUUGUGUUUGCUUACCUAGUUGAAGUUUAUGAAUUAGGUGUUGAAUUAUUCAACUCUAACUCUUCGUGUGUUUUUUCCACUUCUCUUUUGCGGAUUACAAGGUAUUGGGACAUCCGCCACCGAGGACCUUGAGGAGAUGCGGUGAACAAUUCAACAACUUUCUAGGAAUUGUGCCGAUGAACGAGAAAAAAGAAAGCAUGAAGAGAAGAUUAGAGACGCACUUAGGAAUGACAUUGAGUCCCUCAAGGCUCAAGUGAAUCACUUAAUCGGCUUGCCCCGCUUUCCGCCAAAAAGAAGCCGACUCUCUCCGUCAAAAAGCCACAUUUAUGAAGAGGAUGAAAGUGAUGGAAAUAAUACAAAUGAUGAAGAAAAUGAGGGGGAACCCGAAGAUGAGUGAUUUUAUGUUUGGUUGGAUUGUUGUUUAGUUGGAUGUUAACUUUGAAUGUUACGUUUUGAUGUUUGGUUGGAUAGUUUUGAUGAUUGAUGGGAUAAUUUGGAUGUUUGAUGGGAUAAUUUGGAUGUUUAGAUAUAGUUUAUAAAGUUUUUUUGUUGUUAAGUUGAGUUUUA